GCAAACUUGGUCAUUUAGAGGAAGUAAAAGUCGUAACAAGGUCUCCGUUGGUGAACCAGCGGAGGGAUCAUUACCGAGUUUCUACGAACUCCCAACCCCUGUGAACAUACCAUCGUUGCUUCGGCGGUUCCGUCCCGGGCGCGCACGGCGUGACCCGGAGCCAGGCGGCCGCCGGAGGACCCAAACUCUUGUCUUUAGUGGAUUUCUGAGUGGCAUAAGCAAUAAAUCAAAACUUUCAACAACGGAUCUCUUGGUUCUGGCAUCGAUGAAGAACGCAGC
RNAcentral lists this unclassified non-coding RNA (279 nucleotides) under uncultured fungus. RNAcentral's name for it is "partial contains small subunit ribosomal RNA, internal transcribed spacer 1, and 5.8S ribosomal RNA". The stretch from base 1 to 73 matches the Rfam family "Eukaryotic small subunit ribosomal RNA", at positions 1759 to 1831 of the family's 1831-position model. Lineage: Eukaryota; Fungi. The record is from RNAcentral.